Molecule: ribosomal RNA, 461 nt
Filed under: uncultured bacterium
Lineage: Bacteria
Description: partial 16S ribosomal RNA
Rfam family: Bacterial small subunit ribosomal RNA
Source: RNAcentral
CCUACGGGUGGCAGCAGUGAGGAAUAUUGGUCAAUGGGCGGGAGCCUGAACCAGCCAAGUCGCGUGAGGGAAGACGGUCCUACGGAUUGUAAACCUCUUUUGCCGGGGAGCAACGGGGUCCUUGCGAGGGCCCGAUGAGAGUACCCGGCGAAAAAGCAUCGGCUAACUCCGUGCCAGCAGCCGCGGUAAUACGGAGGAUGCGAGCGUUAUCCGGAUUUACUGGGUGUAAAGGGCGCGCAGGCGGCACGCUAAGCCUGAUGUGAAAACCCGCGGCCCAACCGCGGGAGUGCAUUGGGAACUGGCGGGCUGGAGUACCGGAGGGGCAGGCGGAAUUCCUAGUGUAGCGGUGAAAUGCGUAGAUAUUAGGAGGAACACCAGUGGCGAAGGCGGCCUGCUGGACGGAGACUGACGCUGAGGCUCGAAAGCGUGGGGAGCAAACAGGAUUAGAUACCCCUGUAGUC